RNAcentral lists this ribosomal RNA (497 nucleotides) under uncultured bacterium. RNAcentral's name for it is "partial 16S ribosomal RNA". It matches the Rfam family "Bacterial small subunit ribosomal RNA", at positions 28 to 507 of the family's 1533-position model. The record is from RNAcentral.
GAUGAACGCUGGCGGCGUGCCUAAUACAUGCAAGUCGAGCGAACAGACGAGGAGCUUGCUCCUCUGACGUUAGCGGCGGACGGGUGAGUAACACGUGGAUAACCUACCUAUAAGACUGGGAUAACUUCGGGAAACCGGAGCUAAUACCGGAUAAUAUAUUGAACCGCAUGGUUCAAUAGUGAAAGACGGUUUUGCUGUCACUUAUAGAUGGAUCCGCGCCGGAUUAGCUAGUUGGUAAGGUAACGGCUUACCAAGGCAACGAUGCGUAGCCGACCUGAGAGGGUGAUCGGCCACACUGGAACUGAGACACGGUCCAGACUCCUACGGGAGGCAGCAGUAGGGAAUCUUCCGCACUGGGCGAAAGCCUGACGGAGCAACGCCGCGUGAGUGAUGAAGGUCUUCGGAUCGUAAAACUCUGUUAUUAGGGAAGAACAAAUGUGUAAGUAACUAUGCACGUCUUGACGGUACCUAAUCAGAAAGCCACGGCUAACUACGUG